AGGCAUACGGCUCAGUAACGCGUAGUCAACCUAACCUAUGGACGGGAAUAACCUCGGGAAACUGAGAAUAAUGCCCGAUAGAACAUUAUGCCUGGAAUGGUUUAUGUUCCAAAUGAUUUAUCGCCGUAGGAUGGGACUGCGGCCUAUCAGUUUGUUGGUGAGGUAAUGGCCCACCAAGACUAUUACAGGUACGGGCUCUGAGAGGAGUAGCCCGGAGAUGGGUACUGAGACACGGACCCAGGCCCUAUGGGGCGCAGCAGGCGAGAAAACUUUGCAAUGUGCGAAAGCACGACAAGGUUAAUCCGAGUGGUUUCUGCUAAAGAAACCUUUUGUCAGUCCUAGAAACACUGAUGAAUAAGGGGUGGGCAAGUUCUGGUGUCAGCCGCCGCGGUAAAACCAGCACCUCAAGUGGUCAGGAUGAUUAUUGGGCCUAAAGCAUCCGUAGCCGGCUCUGUAAGUUUUCGGUUAAAUCUGUACGCUCAACGUACAGGCUGCCGGGAAUACUGCAGAGCUAGGGAGUGGGAGAGGUAGACGGUACUCGGUAGGAAGGGGUAAAAUCCUUUGAUCUAUUGAUGACCACCUGUGGCGAAGGCGGUCUACCAGAACACGUCCGACGGUGAGGGAUGAAAGCUGGGGGAGCAAACCGGAUUAGAUACCCGGGUAGUCCCAGCUGUAAACUAUGCAAACUCAGUGAUGCAUUGGCUUGUGGCCAAUGCAGUGCUGCAGGGA
Molecule: ribosomal RNA, 729 nt
Filed under: uncultured crenarchaeote
Lineage: Archaea; Thermoproteati; Thermoproteota
Description: bacterial SSU rRNA
Rfam family: Archaeal small subunit ribosomal RNA
Source: RNAcentral